Molecule: small nuclear RNA, 107 nt
Organism: Cervus hanglu yarkandensis (Yarkand deer)
Lineage: Eukaryota; Metazoa; Chordata; Mammalia; Artiodactyla; Cervidae
Source: Ensembl
GUGCUCACUUCGGCAGCACAUAUACUAAAAUUGGAAUGAUACAGAGAAGAUUAGCAUGGCCCCUGCACAAGGAUGACACACAACACGAACCCAUGGACACCUUAUCU